This 2215-nucleotide long non-coding RNA is filed under the name Homo sapiens (human). Its description in RNAcentral is "non-protein coding lnc-PPP4R1-2:12". The record is from RNAcentral. Lineage: Eukaryota; Metazoa; Chordata; Mammalia; Primates; Hominidae.
GCGCUUCUCCGCACCGGGAUCCCCAGUCCCUCAGGUUCCGACAGACCCUCCUGUCAGGCCCAUUCUCCGGGCCCCCUCAGUUGCAGUGUUAAGAUCAACAGUGUUAAGAUUAAAGCCUUGUGAUGUGCUAGCCACUACGCUGAGGAUAUGCCGUGUACUAAAAUUCCUCAGGACUCCUCACAGCUGCCCUGUAAGGAAGCGGCCAUGGCCGGGUUCUAGCGAUGCGAGGCCGAGGCUCGGGGCGCUGAGUAGCCUAGCGCGUCGCCGAGGAGAGCUGGCACGUGAACCCCUUGUCGUUUGCCGUCAGAGGUGUUAUGUGGUGGCCCUCAUUCUCCAUGCAUGGAGCAGACUCUAGGAUCUGCAGUUACUGUAUGAUGAGCCCUUCUGAGUAUUUUGCUUGGCUUUGCACCUGGCGAGGUAACAUUGAGAGUAGUUAAUCUCUAGACUGGAAUCCAUCUGGAAGACCACUCAAUAACUUGUGAUUAGCUGGACCUGGUGAUGCAAGCCUGGAGUCCCAGUUACCCGGAGGCUGAGGUGGGAAUAUCGCUUGAGACCAGGAGUUUGAGGCUACAGUGAGCUGUGAUUGUACCACUGCACUCCAGCCUGGGUGACAGUGCAAGACCUCAUCUCUUAAAAAAAACAAACAACUCAAAAAACCUCAUCAUUGAGCACCUAUGAUGUGCCAGCAACUGUACUCAGUGGUGGGGACUUGACGACAAACAAACCAGGGAUGGGAUCCUUGAGCAGUCACCAUCUGACAAGUGACUGGGAAAGAUGAAUAAUGCCCUUCACCAAGAUUCUUCUCUGAUCCACAAAUUCAAUUACCAAUUUAUUUGUUCACUGCUCUUAAACUUAAAUAUUUUUUAGUAGGUAAUAAAGACAUGUUUAAACACUCUUAACUUUUAACAAUUUCUUUGUAAGUACUGUAAUAGUCUUCUUUUCCUUUAAAAAGAAAAAAUACAAAAAGAAGGAAAAGGAAAAUCUAUUCAAAAUAAAGUAUUCCAGAUAUCUGACAUUGCUGCAUUGCUGUAUCAUUCAUUAACAUUCACAAAAAAUAAAAUGAGUGCCUUCCGUGUGUGUGCAGGCAUUGUUCUAGGCAAAGAAGAUUUAGCAUUCAACCAAAACUUCUGUUCUCAUGGAACCUACCUACUCGCAGAUCCAAGCCAUGGUAGUUUGUUCAAGAACCUUCAGCUCUUUUCUGCUUUGUUGUCAAAGGCUUCUAAAAUUGGAUCCCCUCCUCCUUAGUUCUUCCUGAUCCCUGACAGGGAUCCUGUGCUUCAGUCAGCCUCCAAUCCCAACCACCACCACCAACAAAAUCACAAGAAGACACCUAGGCUAUUAUUCUUAACCUGUUUCCCAGUUUCUAUUUGUUAACCCCCUCUGGAUUAGGCAUUGUUGUCUUUGAUCUUGACAUGUGCCUCUAUGUGGAGAGUGUAUUUUUGCUCACCAAAUUUUUACUCAUUAAACUUUACUGGUGCUAUGCUUGCUAACUUAUUUCAGAUAAUUAGAGCUUUUGGAUGCUUUCUCCAGGACAAACUGUUCCUUUCCCCAUCCUCAGCCUUCCAUGCUGUUAAUGUACAAAAUCAGAUGAUUUAAACAUAAAUCAUCUUGAACUCUAGAAUGACCUGGUCCCCUUAGCGAAAAACUGUGGGAUUCAACACUACUCCUCAGUGAUGAUGGUAAGGCUACGUGGGCAGUUGUUUAACCAUUAUCCCCAGGUGCCCUCACCCACAGCCAGCCUGCUCAAAGGACUAUUUCCCAUUCCAAUAAUAAUGACAGAGCUAGGAGGGAGGCCAUGACUAAUAAAGACAUAUAAGAUGUUAUUGCAAAUUCUUUUUUCUAUCCAUAUGAAUUAUAAACUAAAAAAUAUUGACAAAUAUCAGCAAUUACAUCGAAAGAAGAAGGUGGUUGUCAAAAAUAAAAACCAUUGUUAUGUUUUAUAAAUGUUAUUGAAGUCCACAGGAAAUACAUUAAUUUGGUGGGUGUAAAAUUGGAAGAAUUUUGAAAAAUGUAUGCAGUGGUGUAACCACAAACACAAUCAGGAUAUUUCCAUCCCUCCAGAGUUGCCUUAUGUUCCUCCUCCCAAUCUGUUUCCUGUCAACUAAUUAUCUGCUGUCUGUCACUGUAAUAUUGCCUGUUCUAGGAAAUUAGAUGAGUGGAAUUUUCUAUUAUGUGGUCUUUUGAGUCUGACUUCUUUCAAUAAUUAUACUGACUU